Colossoma macropomum (tambaqui) is the source of this 539-nucleotide long non-coding RNA. RefSeq lists it as uncharacterized. The record is from RefSeq and is a predicted model, not a curated record. The transcript has 2 exons. Lineage: Eukaryota; Metazoa; Chordata; Actinopteri; Characiformes; Serrasalmidae.
GGGAAGGCAGCAACCUUUCAGCCUGCUGUGCCUCUCCAUCUGCACGAACCGUGUGUCAACGAAGGUGGGUUACGGCAAAGUCCUGGCUGGAAUGUGGCAUUAGGGAGAAAUGGGCCAUGGCUGCCGGCUUAACCUGGUGUGGUUACAUGAAAACCAUGCAACCUUUCAGAGGCCCAUUCAGCUCUAUUCUGGCUCUUCUCCAGGGCACUCUGCUCCACAGUCUCAAGAGGAACAUGCUUACAGAGGACGGUCAGAAAGCAAGAUGGAUGAGCAUGCCAAGGGUAAAUGUGAAUUUACCACAGUGAGAAAGAACAGUUUCCCAGGCUAGAGAAAAACCAAGACAGACACUGUGCAUUGCUCUGGACAGCGUGCCGACUGUUCCAACAAUCCACCCACCAAAAAGCAAACAUUAGCACAAGCCAGCGCCGAAAGAGCCCCCCUGGUAUGUGGAGAGCUGAUGACUGCGGAAUAAGACGAAUACUUGACGAAGACGAAGUAGAAACAUUAAUGUCCUCUUAAAUAAAUCUGGCAGAAUAAUA